Molecule: long non-coding RNA, 3581 nt
Filed under: Nilaparvata lugens (brown planthopper)
Lineage: Eukaryota; Metazoa; Arthropoda; Insecta; Hemiptera; Delphacidae
Description: uncharacterized LOC120350557
Source: RNAcentral
CAUUCUGCAUUUUCCUUGCAAAUCCACAAAACUUGCCAUAAUUUUUCAAAAUUUAAUCAAUUCCAGCAUACAUUUCAUAGAGUUUUUGGCUCAACAAAUUCCGGGUCAUAUUCUGCUUGGAAAGUUGUUGGUAUAUCUCAUGAAUAAUGUAAUGUUUUCCGAUCCACAUUUUCUAGAUAAUAUCAGUAAGUUCUAAACUUCAAUAUGAGGUAAGUUUCCUUUUGCAGUACCAUACUCAUUCCACAAGUAUUGGAUAUUUUUCAGGUAAAUGACUAAGAGGUAAGUUGUACCUGAGAUUUUUAUAAUAUUAUCUGUAUAAAAUGUUAUGGAUCUUUCUCCAAUGCUCAGGUUUAUAAUGUUUUUGUGGGAGAGAUUAUUUCAUUCAUCCAUCAACUUCUCCGGUAUAGUGAUGUUCUUCAAUAUCUUUGUGCAUGGAGUUCUAAUGUAAUGUCCAAAUUGUAAAUAAUAGGUUUAUGUAAUGUAAAUUGUAAAUAGAGAUAUUCAUUGUAUAAAGUGCAUGAGCUUUUCUUAUAAUACUUUGAAUUUAUUGAAAUAAUUAUAUUCCGACUUUAUUUUGAAAGCUUAUAACUGUAAGAUUACUUUAAGUGCCCAAUUGUUCAAAUAAGAGACUUUGUACAUAAUCAUAAUAUUGUUUUUCAUUUAUGAAAUAUGGCUUCCAAUUGAUUGUAUUCUCCAAAGUUCAGUUCUUUUGAAGAAUUUGAAUAAUAUAGACAUUUUCGAGUUAUGUUUAUAAGAAUAGACAUGCACAGAUUCAAAUUAAUGUAGGUACUUUUCUCCAACUUUCAAGUUCGGAAUUUUUUUUAGAUGAUUGGAAUUAAGUUGAAUAAUGCUCCUUCAAACUAGGAGAGUCUUCCUCAUUCAUGCUAAUUGAGAGAUUCAUGUACCGUUAUUCAACUUAUACUGACGAAAUCAAUUUGGAUGAAGAUUUAAAGAAAUGAAAUAAUAUAUCAAAUCAAGUGUAAUUUCUUAUAUAAUAUGGAAGGUGAAAUAAUUCUUCAUUAGUUAUCUAACUCUUAAUCGUUAUUUUUCUGAAUCUCAACAAAAGUAUUUUAUUGCAGAAUAUUACUGAUGAAGCUAGAGAUCUACUAGGAGGAGGAAAUAUAAUUUCACUAAUUACACCUCUACUUGGACAAUUGUCAGGGGUAGGCGCAACAAACAAACAUUGAGACUGAGAAAACACACAUUACACAUUCAACUAAUACUUCACAUAAUUCACAUUUACGAAAUAGUAUUGAAUGAAUGAGAUUUCUAUAGUAGAGGAAAACCUUCCCUUACAAAGAUUAUUUCGAUGAAAAUCUCAGGAAAUUGUAUAAUGUAGAUAUCAUAUAAAAUUUUCUUAAUUCAACAAUAUUUUUCCUCAACAAUACUCGAAAAUAUAAGCUUUUUUAUUAAGUGAAUUGAAAUAGUUCUUGAUGAAAAAUCUCACGUAUUCGAGAUUGUUUAAAAUUACUUUUCAAAUUGUAUUAGAAUAUUCUCAUUGAAACUCGAGCACACUACUAACAUUGACAUAGUGAUCACUUAAAACCACCAAAUAUUUCAACCUGAUAUCCUUAAUAAGUUUCUGUACUAAACGAUCAGUUAUCAAAAAACGUUCAGAUCAGUUAUCUGAAAAACAAUUUAAUCUAUUUCCAAACCAUUGUAACAAAAACAAAAUCAAAUUGAUUUCUGUUGGGUGAAUUCAUUGUACCGUUAACAAUCAAAUGUUUAUUGAAGUAAAUGAAAAAUUUAGAUUUUGUUUAAUUAUUCGUCUUGAAAAAAGUGAUUGAAGAAAUUAUUGAUCCCUAUCAUCAACAACAUUACUAACACACUUUUGAUACACUAUUUCGACAUUAUAUAAUAAUUAUUGGAACACCACACUGCUUGAUUUAAUUGUCAUAAGAUCACAUCCAUACUUACAUCUUCAAACCCAACCCACCCUGGUAUGAGAAGAAAGCAUUAUUUGUGAUCGAAGCCAUUAUUGCAAAGCAAUAUUUUACAGGCCGGUAAUAAUUCGACUCGCGAAGACGGCGAGGAUGGUGGUUCAGACUCUGGAUCAAUUUUGGAGUUGCUUGGUCCAUUAUUUGGAAGCAGCAGUGGCGGUGGGGUAUGGUGACCUUCAAGAUAAAACACACACAAUAAACACACAAAUACCUAGAAACGCACAAGACUUAUUGAGUUCUGAUUACAAAAUCUCGGCAUACAAUCUGAAUGAAAACAGAUGGCCAACUUACAUUUCAUCAGAAAUGAGAUUUUUAUAUUUUUCAUCCACACAUUACUUUUAUUCAAAAAAUUGUCAAUAGUUUUUACAUUGAUGGGAGUAUCACUUACUGUCGAUAUUAUGAAUUGCAGUUAUUGUGAUGUUGUAAGAUAAGAUAAAGUACAGGAUAGAGUUGACAUAAUACAAUAGAGAAAACAUAGGCACCUACUUGAAACAAAACAUAUUAUACAUAAUUUCUUGACAUGAUUACAAACAUUCUAUUUCUCUAUUCUUAUUCUAUGAUUAUACUGGCAACAUGAAUAGAGAGUAAAAUAGAUUAUAGUGUUGCAUUUGUGAGUUAAAUUACAAUAGUAAUAUUUAGAAGUUGAUUGAAGCCCGGUAAAAUUAGGCUACAUCUUACAAAUAGGCCUCCCUCAUUGUUCAAGCCUGUUCCUCAUGCAGAAUAUACUCAUGCCAUCAAAAUAGUUCAUUAUUCCAUCAUAGCACAGAACUGAACUGCAAGAAUACAAUAAUAUUUUGGAACUCCCCAGUUAUAAUAAUUGUAGUUAUAUAUUAUUGUAUUUAUGUAUAUUCUUGCAGCAUGACUAGAGCUUGAAUGAUAUAUGUAUUCUAUUCUGUAUUUCAUUAGAUAAAGCAUGAGUAUUGUACUAUCUUGUUACCUUGUACAAAUUUGUAAAAUGUAAAUUUUAUAUUUCCAUUUAGAUGUGUGGAUCUACAUAUAUCAUCUAUCUGUUACACGCUUUUGUAUUGAAAUACCGUAUUCGCUUCUGUACGCCUCUUCAUACUUUUGUCUUCCUCGAAAAUUUUGCAGGACGAUGAGGAAGGAGGUGGUUCUGAUUUCAGUCAGAUCUUGAAUAUUCUGCAGCCUUUUCUUGGUGGUAGCUCUGGGGGUGAAGAAGGAGACCAAAUGUCAGACUCUGGUGCUAUACUUAACAUUGCUGGUCCACUGAUUUCAAGCAGCAGCGGGGGUGGUGAUUCAGAAGAUGGAGGGGGAUCUGAUUCUGGUUCAAUCUUGGAUUUAGUAGGACCAGUUGUAGGCAGCAGCAGUGGAGGGGUAGGUCAUCGAAAUUAACUAUUCAAAAUCACGACUCUUUCCGCACAACUGUCCUUUUAGUGGAGAAACAGUUCAUAAUAUUAUACAAUAUAAAUAUAAUAUUACAUUAUACAAGAUUAUUUUUCUCAGUAUCAAAUGUAGAAUCGAGUUACUCUUCAAUAAGGAUAAAACUCACAAUAAAACAGCUACACUUUGAAAUUCAAAAUGAAACGUCUCAAUUAGAUGACCUUUUGUCAUGAUGAACACAUUGAAACUUGACUUCUAAGAUUUUAAUAGAUAAGUGUAUCCUUGCUUUCUUGAAAGAAAAUA